UACGAAGGGGGCUAGCGUUGCUCGGAAUGACUGGGCGUAAAGGGCGCGUAGGCGGAUGGCACAGUCAGAUGUGAAAUUCCCGGGCUUAACCUGGGGGCUGCAUUUGAUACGUGUUGUCUAGAGUGAGGAAGAGGGUCGUGGAAUUCCCAGUGUAGAGGUGAAAUUCGUAGAUAUUGGGAAGAACACCGGUGGCGAAGGCGGCGACCUGGUCCUUGACUGACGCUGAGGCGCGAAAGCGUGGGGAGCAAACAGG
RNAcentral lists this ribosomal RNA (253 nucleotides) under uncultured bacterium. Its description in RNAcentral is "partial 16S ribosomal RNA". It matches the Rfam family "Bacterial small subunit ribosomal RNA", at positions 524 to 776 of the family's 1533-position model. The record is from RNAcentral. RNAcentral also lists the same sequence under 1 other name.